This 73-nucleotide transfer RNA is filed under the name Camelus bactrianus (Bactrian camel). It matches the Rfam family "tRNA". From Rfam's summary of the family: Transfer RNA (tRNA) molecules are approximately 80 nucleotides in length. Their secondary structure includes four short double-helical elements and three loops (D, anti-codon, and T loops). RNAcentral also lists the same sequence under 2 other names. Lineage: Eukaryota; Metazoa; Chordata; Mammalia; Artiodactyla; Camelidae. The record is from Rfam by way of RNAcentral.
GAGGGUAGAGCUCAAAUGGUAGAGUGCAUGCUUAGCAUGCAUGAGGUCCUGGGUUCAAUUCCUGAUACCCCCU